RNAcentral lists this ribosomal RNA (497 nucleotides) under uncultured bacterium. Its description in RNAcentral is "partial 16S ribosomal RNA". It matches the Rfam family "Bacterial small subunit ribosomal RNA", at positions 28 to 507 of the family's 1533-position model. The record is from RNAcentral.
GAUGAACGCUGGCGGCGUGCCUAAUACAUGCAAGUCGAGCGAACGGACGAGAAGCUUGCUUCUCUGAUGUUAGCGGCGGACGGGUGAGUAACACGUGGAUAACCUACCUAUAAGACUGGGAUAACUUCGGGAAACCGGAGCUAAUACCGGAUAAUAUUUUGAACCGCAUGGUUCAAAAGUGAAAGACGGUCUUGCUGUCACUUAUAGAUGGAUCCGCGCUGCAUUAGCUAGUUGGUAAGGUAACGGCUUACCAAGGCAACGAUGCAUAGCCGACCUGAGAGGGUGAUAGGCCACACUGGAACUGAGACACGGUCCAGACUCCUACGGGAGGCAGCAGUAGGGAAUCUUCCGCAAUGGGCGAAAGCCUGACGGAGCAACGCCGCGUGAGUGAUGAAGGUCUUCGGAUCGUAAAACUCUGUUAUUAGGGAAGAACAUAUGUGUAAGUAACUGUGCACAUCUUGACGGUACCUAAUCAGAAAGCCACGACUAACUACGUG